Molecule: ribosomal RNA, 253 nt
Filed under: uncultured bacterium
Lineage: Bacteria
Description: partial 16S ribosomal RNA
Rfam family: Bacterial small subunit ribosomal RNA
Source: RNAcentral
UACGAAGGGGGCUAGCGUUGUUCGGAUUUACUGGGCGUAAAGCGCACGUAGGCGGAUCGAUCAGUCAGGGGUGAAAUCCCAGAGCUCAACUCUGGAACUGCCUUUGAUACUGUCGAUCUGGAGUAUGGAAGAGGUGAGUGGAAUUCCGAGUGUAGAGGUGAAAUUCGUAGAUAUUAGGAAGAACACCAGUGGCGAAGGCGGCUCACUGGCCCGGUACUGACGCUGAGGCGCGAAAGCGUGGGGAGCAAACAGG